This 323-nucleotide ribosomal RNA is filed under the name uncultured bacterium. RNAcentral's name for it is "bacterial SSU rRNA". It matches the Rfam family "Bacterial small subunit ribosomal RNA", at positions 28 to 339 of the family's 1533-position model. The record is from RNAcentral.
GAUGAACGCUAGCUACAGGCUUAACACAUGCAAGUCGAGGGGAAACGAUAGAGAAAGCUUGCUUUUUCUAGGCGUCGACCGGCGCACGGGUGAGUAACGCGUAUCCAACCUGCCCACCACUUGGGGAUAACCUUGCGAAAGUAAGACUAAUACCCAAUGACGUCUCUAGAAGACAUCUGAAAGAGAUUAAAGAUUUAUCGGUGAUGGAUGGGGAUGCGUCUGAUUAGCUUGUUGGCGGGGUAACGGCCCACCAAGGCGACGAUCAGUAGGGGUUCUGAGAGGAACGGUCCCCCACAUUGGAACUGAGACACGGCCCAGACUCC